RNAcentral lists this ribosomal RNA (465 nucleotides) under uncultured bacterium. RNAcentral's name for it is "partial 16S ribosomal RNA". It matches the Rfam family "Bacterial small subunit ribosomal RNA", at positions 28 to 507 of the family's 1533-position model. The record is from RNAcentral.
GACGAACGCUGGCGGCGUGCUUAACACAUGCAAGUCGAACGGAAAGGCCCUGCUUGCCGGGUACUCGAGUGGCGAACGGGUGAGUAACACGUGGGUGAUCUGCCCUGCACUUCGGGAUAAGCCUGGGAAACUGGGUCUAAUACCGGAUAGGAGCCAUUUUUAGUGUGAUGGUUGGAAAGUUUUUUCGGUGUAGGAUGAGCUCGCGGCCUAUCAGCUUGUUGGUGGGGUAAUGGCCUACCAAGGCGGCGACGGGUAGCCGGCCUGAGAGGGUGGACGGCCACAUUGGGACUGAGAUACGGCCCAGACUCCUACGGGAGGCAGAAGUGGGGAAUAUUGCACAAUGGGCGCAAGCCUGAUGCAGCGACGCCGCGUGGGGGAUGACGGCCUUCGGGUUGGAAACUCCUUUCGCUAGGGACGAAGCUUUUUGUGACGGUACCUAGAGAAGAAGCACCGGCUAACUACGUG